CCGCUUGGCUAUGCCCAUGGCAAGGACUUUUAUACUCCCAGUGAGCAGACUUCAGCCCCUGGUCUUCACUCAGGUCCUCCACAAAGCCUCACUUACCCCUUGCUUGCCUGAGAUAGGUCCAUUCAAAUGCAGCUUGCCUGUGAUAGGUCCACUUGAAUACAAGACUCCCAGCGACACACAUAGUCAGAGAAAGAUGGGGUGCCAUCUCCCAACAGUCAGAAGUUUGCGCUGGGUGAGGACCAUGGCUAUGCCAGGGCACAACUGCCACUUGCCAUCAUAGGAAGGCCUCUUACAAAGACAGAAGGAGGGAGAAGGGAGAACAACUGACCCAACCCUUAACUCCUGGUAGAAAAAAAAAGAAACAAAUAUGGCAUGCCAUACACAGAUCAUAUAAAGAAAAAUUUCACAGAUUUGGUGUCUGAACUACCAACUUAGCCUACCUCACAGGGCUGUUGUGAAGAUUAAAAGGGAAGAGGGGGAUACAAUUUACAUAGCCUUGAGCUUCGGGGAGGAAAAGCAAAACAAAGAUACAACCAGCAAGAGAUACUAUUAAGUGUCAGAUUGACUUACUGUUCUAAAAAAAAUGAAAGCUGAGAGUUUGGGGCCCAUGCUGGUUCAGAGCCCGAGAAAAGUAUUCUCCGCCAGCAGCCCCGAUCAAAACUGACCACUCACCUUCUGCUGCAUGAACAAUUUCACCCGGAACAUUUUGACAGGACAAGAAAUGGCAAGUUCUGACGCAUUUGAAAUUAGCUGAGCUAAUUUUGUUAGCAAUUCUUGAGUGAGACAUAAGGUCAAAGAUGCCAAAGGACUAAAGCGCAGAACGCAAUCAAAAUGUAACAUAUUUUCAUAGAGACACAA
Podarcis raffonei (Aeolian wall lizard) is the source of this 858-nucleotide long non-coding RNA. RefSeq lists it as uncharacterized. The transcript has 4 exons. The record is from RefSeq and is a predicted model, not a curated record. Lineage: Eukaryota; Metazoa; Chordata; Lepidosauria; Squamata; Lacertidae.